UGCACUUUUAGGUAACUUUAAAUAUUUGCUUCAAGUCUAAAAUCCAGACCAGAUCCAAUCCAUCACUUGAUGGUGUAAUGUUGAAACAAUCCAAAUUUUUAAGCUAGAUUCAAGUUUUUGAACUAAUUACGAUCGGUCAGAAUGAAUUCUAUUGAGUUUCAUUGGGUCCUCAUUAACUCAAAUAUAAGCCAUAUUUGGUUGCCACCAGAUCUAGGCCGAUGUGACUGCACCUCUACCACCUAAAAUGUUAUCUCAUUAAACGUUUAACCUGCUUUCUCUCAUUUCUAAGGGCUUGUUUCAAUGAUUAGACUAAAUAUCCCAUUAGAUUUGUGGCUUGGGUCAAUAAUAUCAGCUAAAUAAUAGAAAUAUUGAUCUUUUAUUUCUUUAUACGGUAUUCAGGCCAACCCACUUUCAAACCACUCCUAAGUACUUAUAAAUAUAUGGUAUUCAGGCUAACUCA
This 460-nucleotide long non-coding RNA is filed under the name Elaeis guineensis (African oil palm). Its description in RNAcentral is "long non-coding RNA (EGUI_LNC005045)". Lineage: Eukaryota; Viridiplantae; Streptophyta; Magnoliopsida; Arecales; Arecaceae. The record is from RNAcentral.